UGAGUAACGCGUAUGCAACCUACCUAUCAGAGGGGAAUAACCCGGCGAAAGUCGGACUAAUACCGCAGUAAAACAGGGGCACCGCAUGGUGAUAUUUGUUAAAGAAUUCGCUGAUAGAUGGGCAUGCGUUCCAUUAGGUAGUUGGUGAGGUAACGGCUCACCAAGCCGACGAUGGAUAGGGGAACUGAGAGGUUGGUCCCCCACACUGGUACUGAGACACGGACCAGACUCCUACGGGAGGCAGCAGUGAGGAAUAUUGGUCAAUGGGCGGGAGCCUGAACCAGCCAAGUCGCGUGAAGGAAGAAGGAUCUAUGGUUCGUAAACUUCUUUUGCAGGGAAUAAAGUGCAGGACGUGUCCUGUUUUGUAUGUACCCUGAGAAUAAGGAUCGGCUAACUCCGUGCCAGCCGCCGC
Molecule: ribosomal RNA, 412 nt
Filed under: uncultured bacterium
Lineage: Bacteria
Description: bacterial SSU rRNA
Rfam family: Bacterial small subunit ribosomal RNA
Source: RNAcentral